Molecule: transfer RNA, 72 nt
Filed under: Ictidomys tridecemlineatus (thirteen-lined ground squirrel)
Lineage: Eukaryota; Metazoa; Chordata; Mammalia; Rodentia; Sciuridae
Description: Spermophilus tridecemlineatus (thirteen-lined ground squirrel) tRNA
Rfam family: tRNA
About the family: Transfer RNA (tRNA) molecules are approximately 80 nucleotides in length.
Source: Rfam by way of RNAcentral
GGGGUUGUGGCUCAGUGGUAGAGCGCUCGCUUAGCAUGUGUGAGGCACUGGGUUCAAUCCUCAGCACCAUUU